AAAGCGUGCGCAGGCGGUUUUGUAAGACUGUCGUGAAAUCCCCGGGCUCAACCUGGGAAUGGCGAUGGUGACUGCAAAGCUAGAGUUUGGCAGAGGGGGGUAGAAUUCCACGUGUAGCAGUGAAAUGCGUAGAUAUGUGGAGGAACACCGAUGGCGAAGGCAGCCCCCUGGGUCAAAACUGACGCUCAUGCACGAAAGCGUGGGGAGCAAACAGGAUUAGAUACCCCAGU
Molecule: ribosomal RNA, 230 nt
Filed under: uncultured bacterium
Lineage: Bacteria
Description: partial 16S ribosomal RNA
Rfam family: Bacterial small subunit ribosomal RNA
Source: RNAcentral